AGUUAACGUUGGCGGCGUGCCUAACACAUGCAAGUCGAACGCGUCCUAAGGGCAACUUUAGGAUGAGUGGCGAACGGGUGAGUAUCACGUGGGUAAUCUUCCUUUAAGUGGGGAAUAAGCUCUCGAAAGGGAGUCUAAUACCGCAUGACAUUCCGGGACACAAGUCCCGUAAUCAAAGCCGCAAGGCGCUUGAAGAUGAGCCUGCGUCCUAUUAGCUAGUUGGUGGGGUAACGGCCUACCAAGGCUCAGAUGGGUAGCCGGCCUGAGAGGGUGAACGGCCACACUGGGACUGAGACACGGCCCAGACUCCUACGGGAGGCAGCAGUGAGGAAUUUUGCGCAAUGGGGGAAACCCUGACGCAGCGACGCCGCGUGGAGGAUGAAGGCCUUCGGGUCGUAAACUCCUGUCAGAGGUGAAGAAUGCCGCAAGGGUUGACGGUAACCUCAGAGGAAGCCCGGCUAACUACGUG
Molecule: ribosomal RNA, 469 nt
Filed under: uncultured bacterium
Lineage: Bacteria
Description: bacterial SSU rRNA
Rfam family: Bacterial small subunit ribosomal RNA
Source: RNAcentral